CCCUUAGAUGCUCUGGGCUGCACGCGUGCUACAAUGGCGUUUCCAGCAAGUCUGCGAACCCGAGAGGGCCAGCGGAUCUUCGAAUUGGCGUCGUGAUCGGGACAGUCGAUUGCAAUUAUUUGACUCAAACGAGGAAUUCCUUGUAAUCGCGAUUCAUCAUAUCGCGCUGAAUACGUCCCUGCCCUUUGUACACACCGCCCGUCGCUCCUACCGAUUGAGCGAUCCGGUAAAUGUUUUGGAUUGGUGCCGGGGCGGCUAGCUGCCGGUCGCUACGAAAUUUUGUGAACCUUAUCGCUUAGAGGAAGGAAAAGUCGUAACA
RNAcentral lists this ribosomal RNA (319 nucleotides) under uncultured eukaryote. RNAcentral describes it as "partial 18S ribosomal RNA". It matches the Rfam family "Eukaryotic small subunit ribosomal RNA", at positions 1470 to 1796 of the family's 1831-position model. The record is from RNAcentral.